RNAcentral lists this transfer RNA (67 nucleotides) under Diaphorina citri (Asian citrus psyllid). It matches the Rfam family "tRNA". From Rfam's summary of the family: Transfer RNA (tRNA) molecules are approximately 80 nucleotides in length. Lineage: Eukaryota; Metazoa; Arthropoda; Insecta; Hemiptera; Psyllidae. The record is from Rfam by way of RNAcentral.
GCCUAGUUAGCUUAGUUGGUAGUGCGUCUGCCGCACUAGGCCGCGGGUUCGAUUCCCGCCCGGGGCG